GAUGAAGAACGCAGCGAAAUGCGAUAAGUAAUGUGAAUUGCAGAAUUCAGUGAAUCAUCGAAUCUUUGAACGCACCUUGCGCCCUUUGGCCAUUCCGAAGGGCAUGCCUGUUUGAGCAUCAUGAACACCUCAACUCUUCAUGGUUUUCCAUGAUGAGCUUGGACUUUGGGGGUCUUGCUGGCCUGUGGGUCGGCUCCUCUCAAAUGAAUCAGCUUGCCGGUUUUUGGUGGGCAUCACAGGUGUGAUAACUAUCUACGCUUGUGGUUUUCCACCAGGGUAACCUUCAGCAGUGGAGGUUCACUGGAGCUUACAAAUGUCUCUCCUCUGUGAGGACAGCCCUUUGAAUGUUUGAUCUCAAAUCAGGUAGGACUACCCGCUGAACUUAAGCAUAUCAAUAAGCGGAGGA
This 406-nucleotide unclassified non-coding RNA is filed under the name soil metagenome. RNAcentral describes it as "partial contains 5.8S ribosomal RNA, internal transcribed spacer 2, and large subunit ribosomal RNA". The stretch from base 1 to 121 matches the Rfam family "5.8S ribosomal RNA", at positions 35 to 154 of the family's 154-position model. The record is from RNAcentral.